GCCGGUACUCGCGAAUGCUCUAGAUUUAAGUUUGAUCAUGGCUCAGACUGAACGCUGGCGGCAGGCUUAACACAUGCAAGUCGAGCGGGGAAGGGUAGCUUGCUACCUAACCUAGCGGCGGACGGGUGAGUAAUGCUUAGGAAUCUGCCAUUUAGUGGGGGACAACAUUCCGAAAGGAAUGCUAAUACCGCAUACGUCCUACGGGAGAAAGCAGGGGAUCUUCGGACCUUGCGCUAAAUGAUGAGCCUAAGUCGGAUUAGCUAGUUGGUGGGGUAAAGGCCUACCAAGGCGACGAUCUGUAGCGGGUCUGAGAGGAUGAUCCGCCACACUGGGACUGAGACACGGCCCAGACUCCUACGGGAGGCAGCAGUGGGGAAUAUUGGACAAUGGGCGGAAGCCUGAUCCAGCCAUGCCGCGUGUGUGAAGAAGGCCUUUUGGUUGUAAAGCACUUUAAGCGAGGAGGAGGCUCUCCUAGUUAAUACCUAGGAUGAGUGGACGUUACUCGCAGAAUAAGCACCGGCUAACUCUGUGCCAGCAGCCGCGGUAAUACAGAGGGUAGCGAGCGUUAAUCGGAUUUACUGGGCGUAAAGCGUGCGUAGGCGACUUUUUAAGUCGG
This 616-nucleotide ribosomal RNA is filed under the name uncultured bacterium. RNAcentral describes it as "bacterial SSU rRNA". It matches the Rfam family "Bacterial small subunit ribosomal RNA", at positions 1 to 591 of the family's 1533-position model. The record is from RNAcentral.